Molecule: ribosomal RNA, 429 nt
Filed under: Pseudomonadota bacterium
Lineage: Bacteria; Pseudomonadati; Pseudomonadota
Description: Proteobacteria bacterium partial 16S ribosomal RNA
Rfam family: Bacterial small subunit ribosomal RNA
Source: RNAcentral
UGGGGAAUAUUGGACAAUGGGCGAAAGCCUGAUCCAGCCAUGCCGCGUGUGUGAAGAAGGUCUUCGGAUUGUAAAGCACUUUAAGUUGGGAGGAAGGGCAGUAAGCGAAUACCUUGCUGUUUUGACGUUACCGACAGAAUAAGCACCGGCUAACUCUGUGCCAGCAGCCGCGGUAAUACAGAGGGUGCAAGCGUUAAUCGGAAUUACUGGGCGUAACGCGCGCGUAGGUGGUUCGUUAAGUUGAAUGUGAAAGCCCCGGGCUCAACCUGGGAACUGCAUCCAAAGCUGGCGAGCUAGAGUAGGGCAGAGGGUGGUGGAAUUUCCUGUGUAGCGGAGAAAUGCGUAGAUAUAGGAAGGAACACCAGUGGCGAAGGCGACCACCUGGGCUCAUACUGACACUGAGGUGCGAAAGCGUGGGGAGCAAACAGG